This 496-nucleotide ribosomal RNA is filed under the name uncultured bacterium. RNAcentral's name for it is "partial 16S ribosomal RNA". It matches the Rfam family "Bacterial small subunit ribosomal RNA", at positions 29 to 507 of the family's 1533-position model. The record is from RNAcentral.
AACGAACGCUGGCGGCGCGUCUUAAGCAUGCAAGUCGAACGGCAAGAGAGGAGCUUGCUUCUCUCCUAGAGUGGCGGACUGGUGAGGAACACGUGGGUAAUCUACCCUUAAGAUGGGGAUAGCUGCUAGAAAUAGCAGGUAAUACCGAAUACACUCGGCAUAUCACAAGAGGUGAUGAGGAAAGGAAGCUACGGCUUCGCUUGAGGAUGAGCUUGCGUCCCAUUAGCUAGUUGGUGAGGUAAAGGCCCAACAAGGCGACGAUGGGUAUCCGGCCUGAGAGGGUGAACGGACACAUUGGGACUGAGAGACGGCCCAAACUCCUACGGGAGGCAGCAGCUAAGAAUAUUCCGCAAUGGACGGAAGUCUGACGGAGCGACGCCGCGUGGAUGAAGAAGGCUGAAAAGUUGUAAAAUCCUUUUGUUGAUGAAGAAUAAGAGUGAGAGGGAAUGCUCAUCUGAUGACGGUAAUCGACGAAUAAGCCCCGGCUAAUUACGUG